UACGGAGGGUGCAAGCGUUAUCCGGAUUCACUGGGUUUAAAGGGUGCGUAGGUGGGCAAGUAAGUCAGUGGUGAAAUCUCCGGGCUUAACCCGGAAACUGCCAUUGAUACUAUUUGUCUUGAAUACUGUGGAGGUCAGCGGAAUAUGUCAUGUAGCGGUGAAAUGUUUAGAUAUGACAUAGAACACCAAUUGCGAAGGCAGCUGGCUACACAAAUAUUGACACUGAGGCACGAAAGCGUGGGGAUCAAACAGG
RNAcentral lists this ribosomal RNA (253 nucleotides) under uncultured bacterium. RNAcentral describes it as "partial 16S ribosomal RNA". It matches the Rfam family "Bacterial small subunit ribosomal RNA", at positions 524 to 776 of the family's 1533-position model. The record is from RNAcentral.